ACGGGGUGCAGCAGGCGCGAAACCUUUGCAAUGUGCGCAAGCACGACAAGGUUAAUCCGAGUGUUUCCUGCUUAAGGAAUCUUUUGCUAGUCCUAAAAACACUAGUGAAUAAGGGGUGGGCAAGUUCUGGUGUCAGCCGCCGCGGUAAAACCAGCACCUCAAGUGGUCAGGAGGAUUAUUGGGCCUAAAGCAUCCGUAGCUUGCUCUGUAAGUCUCCGGUUAAAUCCAUUAGCUCAACUAAUGGCCUGCCGGAAAUACUGCAGAACUAGGAAGUGGGAGAGGUAGACGGUACUCGGUAGGAAGGGGUAAAAUCCUUUGAUCUAUUGAUGACCACCUGUGGCGAAGGCGGUCUACCAGAACACGUUCGACAGUGAGGGAUGAAAGCUGGGGGAGCAAACCGGAUUAGAUACCCGGGUAGUCCCAGCCGUAAACGAUGCAGACUCGAUGAUGCACUGGCUUGUGGCCAGUGCAGUGUCGCAGGGAAGCCGUUAAGUUUGCCGCCUGGAAGUACGUACG
Molecule: ribosomal RNA, 516 nt
Filed under: uncultured archaeon
Lineage: Archaea
Description: bacterial SSU rRNA
Rfam family: Archaeal small subunit ribosomal RNA
Source: RNAcentral